Molecule: ribosomal RNA, 258 nt
Filed under: uncultured bacterium
Lineage: Bacteria
Description: partial 16S ribosomal RNA
Rfam family: Bacterial small subunit ribosomal RNA
Source: RNAcentral
CGGGUGAGUAACACGUGAGUGACCUGCCUUUUAGACUGGAACAACUUACCGAAAGGUGAGCUAAUGCCGGAUGAGUUAUAUAAGUGCAUGUUUAUAUAGGAAAAGUUGGGGAGACCUGACGCUGAAAGAUGGACUCGCGUCCCAUUAGCUAGUUGGUAGGGUAAUGGCCUACCAAGGCGACGAUGGGUAGCCGGCCUGAGAGGGUGAACGGCCACAUUGGGACUGAGACACGGCCCAAACUCCUACGGAAGGCAGCAG